AGGUCAAGUGAAGUAAAAGAAAGAUGGCGUCAUACACUUGUUAUUGUUUUUAAUUAUUAUUACAAGGUUGUAUUUUGUUUGCUCUACACAUAUUUCUUACUAAAUUAUGUUUGCAAAUAAUAAAAGUGUGGUAAAAGAUGAAGAUUAAGUUAACAAACAUUAAAUGUAGGUAAUAAACAUGUUAUAUGAAAAUGCUUCCUUUAGAAACCUUGGACCAAUACAUGACUCUUGUAGUAGCUCUAGGAGGUGUUUAUUUAAUGUUUAUGUUUUUAGUUCUGCUAUGUUUUCUGCGUAAAUUCAACACAGAACCUGUUGAGAAUUUUAUCGGUCAAAGACCUAUGGAACUCAGGACAAUCUCGAACCCUUACCGGUAUUCCAAUGUGAACCAACAAUCUGUACGUAGCCCUUCCUAUGCAACUAGAUCUAAUCGGAGUUUUUCUACCAGGAACAGUACAAAAAUACCAACUAAAAAAAUUACCUACGGUAGAAUUGACUUGAGUCAGAUGGAAAGACUUGCUACUCUGUGAUUAAAUACUGUGUAUAGUGUAAAUAUUGUGCAUAUAUGUAGAUAAACAGACAAAAUGUUGAAGAGAAGAAUACCUCAAAUUAAAGGCAUUCAUCUAAAAUCCAUAUCAGAGAAGACUACCAAAAUAAGAAGUUUCAACCAGCUGUUUAUUCUAGAGCUCAGGUAUACAUUCGAAUACAGUUGCUGGUAUCACCUGAAGAAUAAAUCUGGAAUCCGAGACAUCAGUGACAGAGAAAAUGACCGGUACAGAGAGAAUAUAAUUUUUAUAUGUUCUUAAGGGACUAUUCAUACAGUGAGAAUAUAAUUUCCAUAUGUUCUUAUGGGACUAUUCAUACAGUGAGAAUAUAAUUUCCAUAUGUUCUUAUGGGACUAUUCAUACAGUGAGAAUAUAAUUUCCAUAUGUUCUUAUGGGACUAUUCAUACAGUGAUAAUAUAAUUUCCAUAUGUUCUUAUGGGACUAUUCAUACAGUGAGAAUAUAAUUUCCAUAUGUUCUUAUGGGACUAUUCAUACAGUGAGAAUAUAAUUUCCAUAUGUUCUUAUGGGACUAUUCAUAUCCACCCACUCGACUGCCAUUAGGUAAUGAUUAAAUAAUUCAUAUUAUGGCACCUUGUAAAUCAUCAAUAGGUAAUUAUUUAUAUUUAUCCUGACUAAAGUACAAAUUGAAUAUACUGAUUUUGUCUCUUGUAAUAAAAUAUAACUAUAAAUGUA
Long non-coding RNA from Nilaparvata lugens (brown planthopper), 1235 nucleotides. RefSeq lists it as uncharacterized. NCBI's taxonomy places the organism in Eukaryota, Metazoa, Arthropoda, Insecta, Hemiptera, Delphacidae. The transcript has 2 exons. The record is from RefSeq and is a predicted model, not a curated record.